This 253-nucleotide ribosomal RNA is filed under the name uncultured bacterium. RNAcentral's name for it is "partial 16S ribosomal RNA". It matches the Rfam family "Bacterial small subunit ribosomal RNA", at positions 524 to 776 of the family's 1533-position model. The record is from RNAcentral.
UACGUAGGGGGCUAGCGUUGUCCGGAUUCAUUGGGCGUAAAGCGCGCGUAGGCGGCCCGGUAAGUCUGCUGUGAAAGUCCAGGGCUCAACCCUGGAAUGCCGGUGGAUACUGUCGGGCUAGAGUGCGGAAGAGGCAAGUGGAAUUCCUGGUGUAGCGGUGGAAUGCGCAGAUAUCAGGAGGAACACCGAUAGCGAAGGCAGCUUGCUGGGACGACACUGACGCUGAGGCGCGAAAGCGUGGGGAGCGAACAGG